CUUUGGCAAGAGCAAAGUGACCUGAAAAAUAACCAAACCUCCACUGUGUCUGCCCAGAAGGGAAGCUCAACCUGAGGAAGAUGCCAGCCUUCCUCCCAAGACCCCAGCUCACACCACCAGGAGGUACACACAGUUUGGAGGAGAUAUCACCCCGUGUGUCCCAGCUGGAGAUAAAACAUACCUGCUUUACAAUUUUCUAAUGGUAAAGUCCUUAUUCCACGCUUCCCAGGCAGUAAAUCUCCAUCCUGAACACCUUCCCAGCAUCUCUGCCAAAGGCCUGGUGUCAUGUCCAGAGUGUGCCAUACAAUGUGCAGUCAGAAGGGCUGUAAGGCCCCAGAGUCACAACAUCACCCUCAGCAGAGGAAGAUGAUGUUUAUCAGAAAUCAGGGGAACUUGGAAUUAAGCUCAAAGUGCUUCAAAGGUGGGGCUCUUUUCCCUCUCUGGAGAGAAGAGAAGGAAAACUUCAGUGGAAAUGAUUGAGCUGUCUCAGUUCUUUCUCUGCUUUUGAUGUACUUUCAUCAGCUGAUUUGCUCCACAAUAAAAUGUCACA
Molecule: long non-coding RNA, 550 nt
Organism: Prinia subflava (tawny-flanked prinia)
Lineage: Eukaryota; Metazoa; Chordata; Aves; Passeriformes; Cisticolidae
Exons: 3
Source: RefSeq, a predicted model, not a curated record